GCCUAGUUAGCUCAGUUGGUAGUGCGUCUGCCUUGUAAGCGCUAGGCUGCGGGUUCGAUUCCCGCCCGGGGCG
RNAcentral lists this transfer RNA (73 nucleotides) under Diaphorina citri (Asian citrus psyllid). It matches the Rfam family "tRNA". From Rfam's summary of the family: Transfer RNA (tRNA) molecules are approximately 80 nucleotides in length. The record is from Rfam by way of RNAcentral. Lineage: Eukaryota; Metazoa; Arthropoda; Insecta; Hemiptera; Psyllidae.